RNAcentral lists this signal recognition particle RNA (299 nucleotides) under Saimiri boliviensis boliviensis (Bolivian squirrel monkey). RNAcentral describes it as "Metazoan signal recognition particle RNA (ENSSBOG00000006919.1)". It matches the Rfam family "Metazoan signal recognition particle RNA". From Rfam's summary of the family: The signal recognition particle (SRP) is a universally conserved ribonucleoprotein. It is involved in the co-translational targeting of proteins to membranes. The record is from RNAcentral. Lineage: Eukaryota; Metazoa; Chordata; Mammalia; Primates; Cebidae.
GCCAGGCACUGUAGUGCAUGCCUGUAGUCUCAGCUAUUCGGGAAGCUGAGGUGGGAGGUUUGCUUGAGCCCUGGGGUUCUGGGAUGUAGUGCAUUAUGCUAAUCGAUUGUCUGCACUAAGUUCAGAAUCAAUACGGUGACAUCCCAGGAGUGGGUGACCACCAGGUUGCCCAAGUAGGGGUGAACUGGCCUAGGUUAGAAACAGAGAAGGUCAAAACUCCUAUGCUGAUCAGUAGUGGGAUUGCACUUGUGAAUAGCCACUGCACUCUAGCCUGGGCAACAUAUUGAGACCCCGUCUCU